Molecule: ribosomal RNA, 467 nt
Filed under: uncultured bacterium
Lineage: Bacteria
Description: partial 16S ribosomal RNA
Rfam family: Bacterial small subunit ribosomal RNA
Source: RNAcentral
GACGAACGCUGGCGGCGUGCUUAACACAUGCAAGUCGAACGGAAAGGCCCCAGCUUGCUGGAGUGCUCGAGUGGCGAACGGGUGAGUAACACGUGGGUAAUCUGCCCUUCACUUUGGGAUAAGCCUGGGAAACUGGGGCUAAUACCGGAUAGGACCUUCCUCUUCAUGGGGGUGGGUGGAAAGUUUUGCGGUGGAGGAUGGGCCCGCGGCCUAUCAGCUUGUUGGUGGGGUAAUGGCCUACCAAGGCCAUGACGGGUAGCCGGCCUGAGAGGGUGAUCGGCCACAUUGGGACUGAGAUACGGCCCAGACUCCUACGGGAGGCAGCAGUGGGGAAUAUUGCACAAUGGGCGGAAGCCUGAUGCAGCAACGCCGCGUGAGGGAUGACGGCCUUCGGGUUGUAAACCUCUUUCGGUAGGGACGAAGCGCAAGUGACGGUAACGGGAGAAGAAGCACCGGCUAACUACGUG